GACUCUCGGCAACGGAUAUCUCGGCUCUCGCAUCGAUGAGAACGUAGCGAAAUGCGAUACUUGGUGUGAUUGCAGAAUCCCGUGAACCAUCGAGUCUUUGAACGCAAGUUGCGCCCGAAGCCACUAGCCGAGGGCACGCCUGCCUGGGCGUCA
This 153-nucleotide ribosomal RNA is filed under the name Prunus persica (peach). Its description in RNAcentral is "rRNA 5_8S_rRNA". It matches the Rfam family "5.8S ribosomal RNA". Rfam says of the family: 5.8S ribosomal RNA (5.8S rRNA) is a component of the large subunit of the eukaryotic ribosome. It is transcribed by RNA polymerase I as part of the 45S precursor that also contains 18S and 28S rRNA. Functionally, it is thought that 5.8S rRNA may be involved in ribosome translocation. The record is from RNAcentral. Lineage: Eukaryota; Viridiplantae; Streptophyta; Magnoliopsida; Rosales; Rosaceae.